Molecule: ribosomal RNA, 253 nt
Filed under: uncultured bacterium
Lineage: Bacteria
Description: partial 16S ribosomal RNA
Rfam family: Bacterial small subunit ribosomal RNA
Source: RNAcentral
UACAGAGGUCCCAAGCGUUGUUCGGAUUCAUUGGGCGUAAAGGGUGCGUAGGUGGCGCCGUAAGUCAGGUGUGAAAUCUCGGGGCUCAACCCCGAAACUGCACUUGAUACUGCGGUGCUCGAGUACUGGAGAGGAGAUUGGAAUUUACGGUGUAGCAGUGAAAUGCGUAGAUAUCGUAAGGAAGACCAGUGGCGAAGGCGAAUCUCUGGACAGUUACUGACACUGAGGCACGAAGGCCAGGGGAGCAAACAGG